CCUACGGGUGGCAGCAGUAGGGAAUCUUUCACAAUGGGCGAAAGCCUGAUGGAGCAACGCCGCGUGCAGGAUGAAGGCCUUCGGGUUGUAAACUGCUUUUAUAAGCGAGAAAUAUGAUGGUAACUUAUGAAUAAGGAUCGGCUAACUACGUGCCAGCAGCCGCGGUCAUACGUAGGAUCCGAGCAUUAUCCGGAUUUACUGGGUGUAAAGGGAGCGUAGACGGCUUGGCAAGCCAGAUGUGAAAGGCUGGGGCUCAACCCCAGGACUGCAUUUGGAACUGUCAUGCUAGAGUGUCGGAGAGGCAGGCGGAAUUCCUAGUGUAGCGGUGAAAUGCGUAGAUAUUAGGAGGAACACCAGUGGCGAAGGCGGCCUGCUGGACGAUGACUGACGUUGAGACUCGAAAGCGUGGGGAGCAAACAGGAUUAGAUACCCCGGUAGUC
This 440-nucleotide ribosomal RNA is filed under the name uncultured bacterium. RNAcentral's name for it is "partial 16S ribosomal RNA". It matches the Rfam family "Bacterial small subunit ribosomal RNA", at positions 338 to 795 of the family's 1533-position model. The record is from RNAcentral.